UAGGGAAUCUUCCACAAUGGACGAAAGUCUGAUGGAGCAACGCGCGUGAGUGAAGAAGGGUUUCGGCUCGUAAAACUCUGUUGUUAAAGAAGAACAUAUCUGAGAGUAACUGUUCAGGUAUUGACGGUAUUUAACCAGAAAGCCACGGCUAACUACGUGCCAC
This 163-nucleotide ribosomal RNA is filed under the name uncultured bacterium. RNAcentral's name for it is "partial 16S rRNA". It matches the Rfam family "Bacterial small subunit ribosomal RNA", at positions 355 to 511 of the family's 1533-position model. The record is from RNAcentral.